GACGGAGGGGGCUAGCGUUGUUCGGAAUGACUGGGCGUAAAGGGCGCGUAGGCGGUUUAUUAAGUGAGGCGUGAAAGCCCUGGGCUUAACCUAGGAGGUGCGUUUCAUACUGGUAAGCUAGAGUGCGAGAGAGGAAAGUGGAAUUCUUAGUGUAGAGGUGAAAUUCGUAGAUAUUAAGAAGAACACCAGAGGCGAAGGCGGCUUUCUG
RNAcentral lists this ribosomal RNA (208 nucleotides) under uncultured prokaryote. RNAcentral's name for it is "partial 16S ribosomal RNA". It matches the Rfam family "Bacterial small subunit ribosomal RNA", at positions 524 to 731 of the family's 1533-position model. The record is from RNAcentral.